This 1035-nucleotide long non-coding RNA is filed under the name Homo sapiens (human). RNAcentral's name for it is "non-protein coding LINC01833:36". Lineage: Eukaryota; Metazoa; Chordata; Mammalia; Primates; Hominidae. The record is from RNAcentral.
GCGCGGCCCGGUGCUGGUAGAGCACUGACCCCGAAGGGGAUUUAGCGGGAAGAGAGUGGCCGGGCUCUGGGGGUUUUGUCCGAGGGGGCCGGGAGAGGCCGAGACACAAGAAUAAGGAGCGGCCGCGGCAUGAAAGGCGGCGAGGAGAGGCAGCACUGCUGCUCUUGACUUCUGAGCAGGGCUUAGAGAGCCUGCCCCGGCUUAAGCCGAGCUGCUGGUGCUGACCCUGAGCGCCGAGUCCGCGAGCUCUGAGUCCGGAGCCUCCCAGCCGUGGAGCCGUGGGAUGAGGGGGGCGUUGGGGGACAGGGCAAAGUCGAUCUUGGUUGUACAGCCGCCCGAUCCUAGCGCGGAGCUGCGAGCCUGACCGGCCGCGUCUGGCAUGGUCAGAGAAAGAAUUUUCUUUUCCCAACUCCGGCUUUUGGUUUUGUGUGUCCACCUUGCGCAACUCCGGAGCCAGCCGACCCCACAUGGAUUCUCAACAGGUGGCCGGGAAAGUCUGGAGACUCACCAAGCUGAGGAGGAAGAAGGGAACAUCUCAACCCAAGCUGAAUUCUGAAGAACACUUGGCCCCAUCUUCCAGAAAUCCUAAAUCACAUAGAGGGAAAGUUUUGGCCAGGGCACCAAGAAUGAACCAGAAGCUGAGUCCAUUACUCCAAUUUUCACAUUAACCAGGAGACACAUUGAAAAUUCUUUUCUUGAGUGAGAGACUGAAAUUUUGGCUCAAGGGUGUUUCUGUUGGGUCUUCUCUUUAUAUGGCAUGUGAGGACUGCAUCCCACGUCACAUCUGCAGCCACUCCCAGAUUACACUGCAAGGGAGGGUAGAUUAGGAGUGGGUAGGGAGUAGAGGGGUCUGUAGACACAGCAAAAGCAGCAAGCUGGUGUGGGAAAACCCAGAAAAUAUGUCUCAGAGACAGCCAGUGGCUGCACAUACAAAAGGAAGGCACCUACCUGGAAGAGAAGGGGUUGUGAAGUUCUGCCCAGAGUCACAGCGCUGACGUCCUCAGAAGGUCUCCAGCCCUCUGCAGCAAUCUAUAG